Molecule: ribosomal RNA, 1374 nt
Filed under: Cutibacterium acnes
Lineage: Bacteria; Bacillati; Actinomycetota; Actinomycetes; Propionibacteriales; Propionibacteriaceae
Description: bacterial SSU rRNA
Rfam family: Bacterial small subunit ribosomal RNA
Source: RNAcentral
GUCGAACGGAAAGGCCCUGCUUUUGUGGGGUGCUCGAGUGGCGAACGGGUGAGUAACACGUGAGUAACCUGCCCUUGACUUUGGGAUAACUUCAGGAAACUGGGGCUAAUACCGGAUAGGAGCUCCUGCUGCAUGGUGGGGGUUGGAAAGUUUCGGCGGUUGGGGAUGGACUCGCGGCUUAUCAGCUUGUUGGUGGGGUAGUGGCUUACCAAGGCUUUGACGGGUAGCCGGCCUGAGAGGGUGACCGGCCACAUUGGGACUGAGAUACGGCCCAGACUCCUACGGGAGGCAGCAGUGGGGAAUAUUGCACAAUGGGCGGAAGCCUGAUGCAGCAACGCCGCGUGCGGGAUGACGGCCUUCGGGUUGUAAACCGCUUUCGCCUGUGACGAAGCGUGAGUGACGGUAAUGGGUAAAGAAGCACCGGCUAACUACGUGCCAGCAGCCGCGGUGAUACGUAGGGUGCGAGCGUUGUCCGGAUUUAUUGGGCGUAAAGGGCUCGUAGGUGGUUGAUCGCGUCGGAAGUGUAAUCUUGGGGCUUAACCCUGAGCGUGCUUUCGAUACGGGUUGACUUGAGGAAGGUAGGGGAGAAUGGAAUUCCUGGUGGAGCGGUGGAAUGCGCAGAUAUCAGGAGGAACACCAGUGGCGAAGGCGGUUCUCUGGGCCUUUCCUGACGCUGAGGAGCGAAAGCGUGGGGAGCGAACAGGCUUAGAUACCCUGGUAGUCCACGCUGUAAACGGUGGGUACUAGGUGUGGGGUCCAUUCCACGGGUUCCGUGCCGUAGCUAACGCUUUAAGUACCCCGCCUGGGGAGUACGGCCGCAAGGCUAAAACUCAAAGGAAUUGACGGGGCCCCGCACAAGCGGCGGAGCAUGCGGAUUAAUUCGAUGCAACGCGUAGAACCUUACCUGGGUUUGACAUGGAUCGGGAGUGCUCAGAGAUGGGUGUGCCUCUUUUGGGGUCGGUUCACAGGUGGUGCAUGGCUGUCGUCAGCUCGUGUCGUGAGAUGUUGGGUUAAGUCCCGCAACGAGCGCAACCCUUGUUCACUGUUGCCAGCACGUUAUGGUGGGGACUCAGUGGAGACCGCCGGGGUCAACUCGGAGGAAGGUGGGGAUGACGUCAAGUCAUCAUGCCCCUUAUGUCCAGGGCUUCACGCAUGCUACAAUGGCUGGUACAGAGAGUGGCGAGCCUGUGAGGGUGAGCGAAUCUCGGAAAGCCGGUCUCAGUUCGGAUUGGGGUCUGCAACUCGACCUCAUGAAGUCGGAGUCGCUAGUAAUCGCAGAUCAGCAACGCUGCGGUGAAUACGUUCCCGGGGCUUGUACACACCGCCCGUCAAGUCAUGAAAGUUGGUAACACCCGAAGCCGGUGGCCUAACCGU